ANGGCGANCCUGAUGCAGCANCGCCGCGUGCGGGAUGACGGCCUUCGGGUUGUAAACCGCUUUCAGCUCCGACGAAGCGCAAGUGACGGUAGGAGCAGAAGAAGGACCGGCCAACUACGUGCCAGCAGCCGCGGUGAUACGUAGGGUCCGAGCGUUGUCCGGAAUUAUUGGGCGUAAAGGGCUUGUAGGCGGUUUGUCACGUCGGAAGUGAAAACUCAGGGCUUAACCCUGAGCCUGCUUCCGAUACGGGCAAACUAGAGGAAUGCAGGGGAGAAUGGAAUUCCUGGUGGAGCGGUGGAAUGCGCAGAUAUCAGGAGGAACACCAGUGGCGAAGGCGGUUCUCUGGGCAUUUCCUGACGCUGAGAAGCGAAAGCGUGGGGAGCAAACAGGCUUAGAUACCCUGGUAGUCCACGCCGUAAACGGUGGGCACUAGGUGUGGGACUCAUUCCACGAGUUCCGUGCCGUAGCUAACGCAUUAAGUGCCCCGCCUGGGGAGUACGGCCGCAAGGCUAAAACUCAAAGGAAUUGACGGGGGCCCGCACAAGCGGCGGAGCAUGCGGAUUAAUUCGAUGCAACGCGAAGAACCUUACCUGGGUUUGACAUAUGCCGGAAAGCUGCAGAGAUGUAGCCCCCGCAAGGUCGGUAUACAGGUGGUGCAUGGCUGUCGUCAGCUCGUGUCGUGAGAUGUUGGGUUAAGUCCCGCAACGAGCGCAACCCUCGUCCUAUGUUGCCAGCGGAUAAUGCCGGGGACUCAUAGGAGACUGCCGGGGUCAACUCGGAGGAAGGUGGGGAUGACGUCAAGUCAUCAUGCCCCUUAAGUCCAGGGCUUCACGCAUGCUACAAUGGCUGGUACAAAGGGCUGCAAUACCGCAAGGUUGAGCGAAUCC
RNAcentral lists this ribosomal RNA (887 nucleotides) under uncultured bacterium. RNAcentral's name for it is "bacterial SSU rRNA". It matches the Rfam family "Bacterial small subunit ribosomal RNA", at positions 373 to 1274 of the family's 1533-position model. The record is from RNAcentral.